RNAcentral lists this ribosomal RNA (315 nucleotides) under uncultured Thelephoraceae. RNAcentral describes it as "eukaryotic LSU rRNA". The stretch from base 259 to 315 matches the Rfam family "Eukaryotic large subunit ribosomal RNA", at positions 1 to 57 of the family's 3401-position model. Lineage: Eukaryota; Fungi; Basidiomycota; Agaricomycetes; Thelephorales; Thelephoraceae. The record is from RNAcentral.
UGGCUAUUCCGAAGGGCAUGCCUGUUUGAGUAUCAUGAACACCUCAACUCUCAUGGCUUGCCGUGAUGAGCUUGGACUUUGGGGGUCUUGCUGGCUUGCGGUCAGCUCCUCUUAAAUAAAUUAGCUUGCCGGUGUUUGGUGGGAUCACAGGUGUGAUAACUAUCUACGCUUGUGGUUUUUCACUGGGCAACCUUCAGCAAUGGAGGUUCACUGGAGCUCAUAAAUGUCUCUCCUCAGCGGGGACAGAUUUUGACCGUUUGAUCUCAAAUCAGGUAGGACUACCCGCUGAACUUAAGCAUAUCAAUAAGCGGAGGA